This 497-nucleotide ribosomal RNA is filed under the name uncultured bacterium. Its description in RNAcentral is "partial 16S ribosomal RNA". It matches the Rfam family "Bacterial small subunit ribosomal RNA", at positions 28 to 507 of the family's 1533-position model. The record is from RNAcentral.
GACAAACGCUGGCGGCGUGCCUAAUACAUGCAAGUUGAGCGCUGAAGGUUGGUACUUGUACCUACUGGAUGAGCAGCGAACGGGUGAGUAACGCGUGGGGAAUCUGCCUUUGAGCGGGGGACAACAUUUGGAAACGAAUGCUAAUACCGCAUAAAAACUUUAAACACAAGUUUUAAGUUUGAAAGAUGCAAUUGCAUCACUCAAAGAUGAUCCCGCGUUGUAUUAGCUAGUUGGUGAGGUAAAGGCUCACCAAGGCGAUGAUACAUAGCCGACCUGAGAGGGUGAUCGGCCACAUUGGGACUGAGACACGGCCCAAACUCCUACGGGAGGCAGCAGUAGGGAAUCUUCGGCAAUGGACGAAAGUCUGACCGAGCAACGCCGCGUGAGUGAAGAAGGUUUUCGGAUCGUAAAACUCUGUUGGUAGAGAAGAACGUUGGUGAGAGUGGAAAGCUCAUCAAGUGACGGUAACUACCCAGAAAGGGACGGCUAACUACGUG